RNAcentral lists this ribosomal RNA (431 nucleotides) under uncultured bacterium. Its description in RNAcentral is "partial 16S ribosomal RNA". It matches the Rfam family "Bacterial small subunit ribosomal RNA", at positions 29 to 505 of the family's 1533-position model. The record is from RNAcentral.
AACGAACGCUGGCGGCAUGCCUAACACAUGCAAGUCGAACGAGACCUUCGGGUCUAGUUGCGCACGGGUGCGUAACGCGUGGGAACCUUCCCUUAGGUUCGGAAUAACUCCCCGAAAGGGGUGCUAAUACCGGAUAAUUUCUUCGGACCAAAGAUUUAUCGCCCUUGGAUGGGCCCGCGUUGGAUUAGCUAGUUGGUAGGGUACAAGCCUAACAAGGCGACGAUCCAUAGCUGGUCUGAGAGGCUGAUCAGCCACACUGGGGAUGAGACACGGCCCAGAAUUCGACGAGAGGCAGCAGUGGGGAAUAUUGGAACAGGGGCGAAAGACUGAGCCAGCGAUGCCGCGUGAGUGAUGGAGGCCUUAGGGUUGUAAAGCUCUUUUACCCGGGAUGAUAAUGAGAGUACCGAGAGAAUGCGCGCCGGCUAACUCCG